UACAGAGGUCUCAAGCGUUGUUCGGAUUCAUUGGGCGUAAAGGGUGCGUAGGUGGCGCUGUAAGUCGGGUGUGAAAUUUCGGAGCUUAACUCCGAAACUGCAUUCGAUACUGCGGUGCUUGAGGACUGGAGAGGAGACUGGAAUUCAUGGUGUAGCAGUGAAAUGCGUAGAGAUCAUGAGGAAGACCAGUGGCGAAGGCGGGUCUCUGGACAGUUCCUGACACUGAGGCACGGAAGGCCAGGGGAGCAAACGGG
RNAcentral lists this ribosomal RNA (254 nucleotides) under uncultured bacterium. Its description in RNAcentral is "partial 16S ribosomal RNA". It matches the Rfam family "Bacterial small subunit ribosomal RNA", at positions 524 to 776 of the family's 1533-position model. The record is from RNAcentral.